CCUACGGGAGGCAGCAGUGGGGAAUUUUGGACAAUGGGCGCAAGCCUGAUCCAGCAAUGCCGCGUGAGUGAAGAAGGCCUUCGGGUUGUAAAGCUCUUUUGUCAGGGAAGAAACGGUGGGAGCUAAUAUCUCCUACUAAUGACGGUACCUGAAGAAUAAGCACCGGCUAACUACGUGCCAGCAGCCGCGGUAAUACGUAGGGUGCAAGCGUUAAUCGGAAUUACUGGGCGUAAAGCGUGCGCAGGCGGUUUUGUAAGUCUGUCGUGAAAGCCCCGGGCUCAACCUGGGAAUUGCGAUGGAGACUGCAAGGCUUGAAUCUGGCAGAGGGGGGUAGAAUUCCACGUGUAGCAGUGAAAUGCGUAGAGAUGUGGAGGAACACCGAUGGCGAAGGCAGCCCCCUGGGUCAAGAUUGACGCUCAUGCACGAAAGCGUGGGGAGCAAACAGGAUUAGAUACCCUGGUAGUCCACGCCCUAAACGAUGUCUACUAGUUGUCGGGUUUUAAUUAACUUGGUAACGCAGCUAACGCGUGAAGUGACCGCCUGGGGAUCGGUCGCAAGNUAAACUUAAGGAAUUGNGNGNGNGAGNGCGAGAGACGAGAGGAGAG
This 605-nucleotide ribosomal RNA is filed under the name uncultured bacterium. Its description in RNAcentral is "bacterial SSU rRNA". It matches the Rfam family "Bacterial small subunit ribosomal RNA", at positions 338 to 943 of the family's 1533-position model. The record is from RNAcentral.